RNAcentral lists this ribosomal RNA (400 nucleotides) under Rhizocarpon oederi. Its description in RNAcentral is "SSU rRNA". It matches the Rfam family "Bacterial small subunit ribosomal RNA", at positions 357 to 751 of the family's 1533-position model. Lineage: Eukaryota; Fungi; Ascomycota; Lecanoromycetes; Rhizocarpales; Rhizocarpaceae. The record is from RNAcentral.
AGGAAUAUUGGUCAAUAGCCUAACGGCUGAACCAGCAACUUGGAAGAAUGAAUGGCAAUAACCAAUCACAUUAAAAAGAUUUUUUAGUGUGAAAUCGACUCUGUCGAAUAAAAUUCUGGGUGGAAUAUUGAUAAUGACAUUUUCUAUCUAUUUGUCUUGACCAAAUUACGUGCCAGCAGUCGCGGUAAUACGUAAAAGACUAGUGUUAUUCAUCUUUAAUAGGUUUAAAGGGUACUUAGACGGUAAAUCAAGCCAAUAUAUAAAAGGUACUAGUUUACUUAGAGUUUUAUGUGAGAUGUAAAUACGGUUGAAUUCUUGAGAGAAGAGAUGAAAUUCAGUCAUCCGUCGAGGUUACGGGUAAAGGCGAAAGCGACCAUCUAUGUAAAAACUGACGUUGAAG